GAUGAACGCUGGCGGCGUGCCUAAUACAUGCAAGUCGAGCGAACAGACGAGGAGCUUGCUCCUCUGACGUUAGCGGCGGACGGGUGAGUAACACGUGGAUAACCUACCUAUAAGACUGGGAUAACUUCGGGAAACCGGAGCUAAUACCGGAUAAUAUAUUGAACCGCAUGGUUCAAUAGUGAAAGACGGUUUUGCUGUCACUUAUAGAUGGAUCCGCGCCGCAUUAGCUAGUUGGUAAGGUAACGGCUUACCAAGGCAACGAUGCGUAGCCGACCGGAGAGGGUGAUCGGCCACACUGGAACUGAGACACGGUCCAGACUCCUACGGGAGGCAGCAGUAGGGAAUCGGCCGCAAUGGGCGAAAGCCUGACGGAGCAACGCCGCGUGAGUGAUGAAGGUCUUCGGAUCGUAAAACUCUGUUAUUAGGGAAGAACAAAUGUGUAAGUAACUAUGCACGUCUUGACGGUACCUAAUCAGAAAGCCACGGCUAACUACGUG
RNAcentral lists this ribosomal RNA (497 nucleotides) under uncultured bacterium. Its description in RNAcentral is "partial 16S ribosomal RNA". It matches the Rfam family "Bacterial small subunit ribosomal RNA", at positions 28 to 507 of the family's 1533-position model. The record is from RNAcentral.